RNAcentral lists this ribosomal RNA (119 nucleotides) under Pteropus alecto (black flying fox). The record is from RNAcentral. Lineage: Eukaryota; Metazoa; Chordata; Mammalia; Chiroptera; Pteropodidae.
GUCUACAGCCAUGCUACCCUGAACAAGCCUGAUCCCAUCUGAUCUCGGAAGCUAAGCAGGGUUGGGCCUGGUUACUAGUUGGACGGAAAACCACCUAGGAAGACCAGGUGCUGUAGGCG